GCCCGGUUAGCUCAGUCGGUAGAGCAUUCGGCUUUUACGCUCCUCUCAACGAGGUGGAUGACACCGAAAUGUCGGGGGUUCGAGCCCCCCAUUGGGCG
RNAcentral lists this transfer RNA (98 nucleotides) under Puccinia graminis f. sp. tritici. It matches the Rfam family "tRNA". From Rfam's summary of the family: Transfer RNA (tRNA) molecules are approximately 80 nucleotides in length. Their secondary structure includes four short double-helical elements and three loops (D, anti-codon, and T loops). RNAcentral also lists the same sequence under 1 other name. The record is from Rfam by way of RNAcentral. Lineage: Eukaryota; Fungi; Basidiomycota; Pucciniomycetes; Pucciniales; Pucciniaceae.